This 505-nucleotide ribosomal RNA is filed under the name uncultured bacterium. RNAcentral's name for it is "partial 16S ribosomal RNA". It matches the Rfam family "Bacterial small subunit ribosomal RNA", at positions 28 to 507 of the family's 1533-position model. The record is from RNAcentral.
GACGAACGCUGGCGGCGUGCCUAAUACAUGCAAGUAGAACGCACAGUUUAUACCGUAGCUUGCUACACCAUAGACUGUGAGUUGCGAACGGGUGAGUAACGCGUAGGUAACCUGCCUGGUAGCGGGGGAUAACUAUUGGAAACGAUAGCUAAUACCGCAUAAUAUUGAUUAUUGCAUGAUAAUUGAUUGAAAGAUGCUAUUGCAUCACUACCAGAUGGACCUGCGUUGUAUUAGCUAGUAGGUGAGGUAACGGCUCACCUAGGCGACGAUACAUAGCCGACCUGAGAGGGUGAUCGGCCACACUGGGACCGAGACACGGCCCAGACUCCUACGGGAGGCAGCAGUAGGGAAUCUUCGGCAAUGGACGAAAGUCUGACCGAGCAACGCCGCGUGAGUGAAGAAGGUUUUCGGAUCGUAAAGCUCUGUUGUAAGAGAAGAACGGGUGUGAGAGUGGAAAGUUCACACUGUGACGGUAUCUUACCAGAAAGGGACGGCUAACUACGUG